GAUCAUGGCUCAGGACGAACGCUGGCGGCGCGCCUAACACAUGCAAGUCGAACGAGAGAUGAGGAGCUUGCUCUUCAAAUCGAGUGGCGAACGGGUGAGUAACGCGUGAGGACCUGCCUCAAAGGAGGGGACAACAGUUGGAAACGACUGCUAAUACCGCAUAAGCCCACGGCUCGGCAUCGAGCAGAGGGAAAAGGAGUGAUCCGCUUUGAGAUGGCCUCGCGUCCG
RNAcentral lists this ribosomal RNA (228 nucleotides) under uncultured bacterium. RNAcentral describes it as "partial 16S ribosomal RNA". It matches the Rfam family "Bacterial small subunit ribosomal RNA", at positions 15 to 239 of the family's 1533-position model. The record is from RNAcentral.